Molecule: long non-coding RNA, 1505 nt
Organism: Notolabrus celidotus (New Zealand spotty)
Lineage: Eukaryota; Metazoa; Chordata; Actinopteri; Labriformes; Labridae
Exons: 3
Source: RefSeq, a predicted model, not a curated record
GCUGGCUGGCUGCUCGUCGCUGGAGUCCUGAAAAGCUGUCGGUGAUUCUAACACACCCCUUCUUCCUCCUUUUUGUCCAACUCCACGCUUCCUAAAGACAGUUGGAGGAUUCAUUCAAAGCGGUUCUGUCUUCCCACAGAUCCAAGUGGCUGUUUCUGUGGGAUGCUGCUCCAUGCCCUCUGACGUGAAUUUGUCUAUCAAGGACCUCAAAUGUUGAGGCAGCAGCCUGUAACCUCUCAUGGCCUUAAGAUUCAGUGUCAGAUGACGUGUUGGUGCAGACAUGCUUUCACUGCUUUCACCAACUCUGCAAACCAAUGAAGGUCAGGGGAGUCAGAUGGAAGAUGUACUCCUCAUGCUGCUGCUAAACACUUCUCCAAAGAUCUUAACUGAUGUUGUGUGACGGUGUCACAGUCUUGAGUCUGUGUGGUUUGUGUGUUUGAAUGCAGAGUACAGUAGCAUCCGUGGUGGCUGUCUCUCAUCUCUCUCAAGGUCAGAGACACAGAGCUUCAUCUGACAGCAGAGCGUCUCCUGAAUAGAAAAAGAAAUGCCACAGCCUGGCUGACAGACAGAUAGAGCAGCGCCCCCAGCUGGACUUAAUGAGAAGUGACCAGACACAUGCAUGCAUCAUUCAUGUCAGCGCUACAAAGGCAGUAGCACUGAUCAGAAUGCAGAAAAAUCCCAAAGCACAAAGACAGAUGUUUUCUACACACCAGAAUUGACUAUAUAUUGCUUUUGUUUGUUGUAUUCAUUUAGCCUUUUUCACAUACAUUGAGAAUCAACUAAACCUUUAUGUUGAGCUAAAGAAAAAAAUCAUAUAUCUGUGCCCUGUUUCCGGAGGGGUUCAGUCACCAACUGUGAACUGUUUAGUGAACAAACACUGUACGCUACGGUCCAUGGUUCAUGUUUGGAUAUGUAAAUGAGGUUGGUGUAUGAUUGCCUCGCCACAAUGUUAUUCCACCUCCUUCCGCUGGAGGGUCGCCCUCCAAAUGCUUGGUCUGGAGGAAAGCGUCUCCAUAGAAACCACAACAACGGUGGCACAUGAGCUCAGGGUUUGACUGGGCAAAUGGAGGACAAUGACACAAGGGGUGCACUGGCACUGGGCCACGAUGGAGAGCAUCAAGCAGGGAUAUUGAGUGUUGAACAACAGACACUUACUUUUACCUCAUUUAGAGCUCAUUUAGACACCCAGAGAUGAAGAUAAAUAAAUGUGCUCAUGUAUUCAGAAACAAGUGGACUGAUGUGAGCGUCAGUGCAAGAGUUUGUGCAUGCGUUAUGGUGUAGUACUUUGUAUUUAACCAACAUAAUAUGACUGUGUAAUGAGUUUUAAGCAACUGAAUAAGAGCUGAUCGGGACACAAAUCAGGAUAAUGAUCUUAGAAUAUGAAUGAAUAAUCCAUUGUUACUUAAUCCAAAGAUUCAGUGUAGUUAGCUGUGAGUCCUUUAUGCUUUAAUUGGUUUUAUUUUAAGCAAAAAAAGAUUUGUUAUUUUAAUCCCAAGUAGACUUUC